This is a non-coding RNA of Ictidomys tridecemlineatus (thirteen-lined ground squirrel), 616 nucleotides long. The record is from RefSeq and is a predicted model, not a curated record. NCBI's taxonomy places the organism in Eukaryota, Metazoa, Chordata, Mammalia, Rodentia, Sciuridae.
UCAGAAUGAAGGUGAAAGCUGUAUACAGAUAUGGUAGAGUCAAUGAAUGGAAGCAACCAACAUCCCUGAGUGAUUGCUUGGAAGAACCAUCAGACCCUCAAGUGCUGCUGAUCCAUAUUGGUCCUAGUACAAAUAUGAUUCUUCAAAUGAGAGUCACAGAAUCCCAUUGAAGACAGUUGCUAGUCUGUGGGCAAUGAUCAUUGAGAAGAAAGUCAGAGCUGAAAGUUCAGAGGAGCAAGCAACCCUGGAGCCACAGGGUUGUAGAGACUUUGACUUAAUCCUGCUGUCAGUCACAGAGCUCAACACAUACAGUUGUCUCAUGAAAAGCAAUUCAAUUACAGAUCAAUGCAUGCAAUCUGGAUUUGCAAAUGUGGCUUAUCAUUAAUAGCAGAUAUGAGAUUCAUCAGAGUAGGAAUUUGAAGGUGAAGAGGUAUGUGAGAGAUAAAUACUUAUUCUGGUCUAUUUUUGUCCAGUGUUUUAGUGCAGUUAUAGCCUUAUCCCAUAUUGCUGUGGCAUCUCCAAUAAGGAUGUUUAUGUCUUUGGUGAAUUCAUAAGUGACUGCAAUAGAGCUUUUCCAUUGGUGUACCUUAUGCUUUUAUUAUCUUUCUUUGUAGAU